Molecule: unclassified non-coding RNA, 299 nt
Filed under: fungal sp.
Lineage: Eukaryota; Fungi
Description: partial internal transcribed spacer region
Source: RNAcentral
AAGUCGUAACAAGGUUUCCGUAGGUGAACCUGCGGAUCAUUAACACGUCGUUCUCGUAACACCAGUGCGCCUCAGCAACCGGUAAAUCAUUGUUGUUCAGUAUUGAUUCGGGACCUCUGACAAAUGCCUUACGAUCGAGCUGACAUGGCUUCCAGUGAAUGAAAGUGUCACCGGAUAACGCCUGGGUCGACACAGGGUCCUUUGAGAUCCCUUCGAAUCCCCACUACUUGAAAGUUCGGGCUUGCUAAAUACACGCCCAAAAAAACGAACAACUGUUAACAAUGGAUAUCUUGGUUCUC